GGUGUUGUUCUCUCUUGAAUUGUUUCACCCUAAUGUUUAUUAUAAUUCAUUAGAUAUUAAUUCGGUACUGUAGGGGGCGAUCAAUUGUAUAAGAAGUUGACCUAGAAGAUCAACAUUCUGAUUCCUAAAUCAAUAUAAAUCCAUAAACUUUUUACUUCUUAGUUAGUAAUAUAUUAGGUAGGGUUGAGAAAUUUGGAGCUUAGGAGU
RNAcentral lists this long non-coding RNA (207 nucleotides) under Elaeis guineensis (African oil palm). RNAcentral's name for it is "long non-coding RNA (EGUI_LNC029810)". The record is from RNAcentral. Lineage: Eukaryota; Viridiplantae; Streptophyta; Magnoliopsida; Arecales; Arecaceae.